Molecule: ribosomal RNA, 465 nt
Filed under: uncultured bacterium
Lineage: Bacteria
Description: bacterial SSU rRNA
Rfam family: Bacterial small subunit ribosomal RNA
Source: RNAcentral
GGAGGAAAGUAGGGGAUCGAAAGACCUUAUGCUUUUGGAGCGGCCGAUGUCUGAUUAGCUAGUUGGUGGGGUAAUGGCCUACCAAGGCGACGAUCAGUAGUUGGUCUGAGAGGACGACCAGCCACACUGGGACUGAGACACGGCCCAGACUCCUACGGGAGGCAGCAGUGGGGAAUUUUGGACAAUGGGCGAAAGCCUGAUCCAGCAAUGCCGCGUGAGUGAAGAAGGCCUUCGGGUUGUAAAGCUCUUUCAGUUGAAAAGAAAAGAUCGUGACUAAUAAUCGCGAUUCAUGACGGUAUCAACAGAAGAAGCACCGGCUAACUACGUGCCAGCAGCCGCGGUAAUACGUAGGGUGCAAGCGUUAAUCGGAAUUACUGGGCGUAAAGGGUGCGCAGGCGGUUCUGUAAGUCAGAUGUGAAAUCCCCGGGCUUAACCUGGGAAUUGCGUUUGAAACUACAAAGCUAG